Molecule: ribosomal RNA, 389 nt
Filed under: uncultured bacterium
Lineage: Bacteria
Description: partial 16S ribosomal RNA
Rfam family: Bacterial small subunit ribosomal RNA
Source: RNAcentral
AUACAUAGGGGGCAAGCGUUAUCCGGAAUUAUUGGGCGUAAAGCGUGCGUAGGCGGUUUAUUAAGUCUGAUGUUAAAUCCCACAGCUCAACUGUGGGCUGCCAUUGGAAACUGGUAGACUAGAGUACGGGAGAAGUGAAGGGAACUCCAUGUGUAGCGGUGAAAUGCGUAGAUAUAUGGAAGAACACCAGUGGCGAAGGCGCUUCACUAGCCCGAAACUGACGCUCAGUCACGAAAGCGUGGGUAGCAAAUAGGAUUAGAUACCCUAGUAGUCCACGCUGUAAACGAUGACAACUAAAUAUUGCCGCGAGGCAGUGUUGAAGCUAACGCAUUAAGUUGUCCGCCUGGGGAGUACGGUCGCAAGACUGAAACUUAAAGGAAUUGACGGGG